AGAAUUGCUAGCUGCACUUCCUUUGAGGAUGUAAUCUGUGGCUGAUGACAGCCGGUGUCGGCUUUCUAAUAUCGCAGCUGAUCUUUCUGGAAACUCAAUUGGGCUCUUAGCACUCCCUUAUUGAGCUUGAGACCUGAAUUGUUUCUAAAAAGAAUAUGAACAUUGUAAUAAGGUUGGAUUAAUUGCAUAUAAAGGUGUAUAUUUUGCAAGAAAUUGUGUUGUGUUUCAGAUUUUGGUGAAUAGAAACAACAGGCACCAGUGCAGACAUGGUCUUGCACAAUGUAGAGAAUGGGACAGCUGCCAAUAGGGGGCAAGUUCACUAAGUGAACAGAACACUAUGUCCUUGUCAAUAACAGCAUGCUGUUUAUGAGUAACAUGUCCAGGAUACCUUAAGCUUCUGUCAUUUAAAAAAAAAAGCUUUAUGCUGGUAAUUUCGCAUUUCAGAAAUAUGCAUGUGGUGGCACAUUGACAUGUAACGUGGUUAUGCCUUUUGCUGUUGGGUUUCAUGAGUCUGUGCUUCACAUUGCCACAGUUGUGGUGCUGAUUUACGACAAAUUUAGUGUGAUAUUAAAUAUGUCUCUCAAAUCUUAGAGUUUAUUAUGUGGAACAGUUAACAUAAAAAGAUGUAAUCUUGAGUCUGGACGCUUUCUAGUGAUUGCACAUAAGUGCUUGGGAAAUGUUCCGAAGGUUAUUCUUUGAGGGCCUGCAGUUCUGAAUGGCUGCUUCAUCCACUGAUUAGGUUAUGCAUUGAUGAUUAGUAGUAUGUCUCCUUAUAGGCUAUUAUACGGAACCAUCGCUAUGCUGCCAUCUUCUGCAGCUAAUGCUGGCGUUUUCAAAUGGUAACAACGUAUACAUGGUGUUACGGUCAUUUCGUACAUGUGAAAAUGAUCGUACAAACGUGUUUGGUGUUGCACAACCACGUUAAUUUGACGCUACCGAGCACACAAUUAAACUGCCUAUGAAGCGAUACAGGGUGUUUUUUUUUAGCUGCAUCAUUUUUUUUUAAUUGCCUGUGGCAGAUAGCACAAUUAUAACCAUUGAGCUAGAUUACUUGACGAGGUGGCCAUUAGUUCAAAGAGAAGACAAAAUGCCCAAUUGAAUAAUUUAUAUAAUUAAGCCAUUUAACAUUUAACCUAAUUACAUUAGAGCACAUAUUUCAAUCUAUAAUUUGUAGAUGGUGAGGAUGCAAGGUAUACAGACUUCGAACUAAUUCUGAAGACUAUGCCAGUUUCGAAGUAUUAAUUUUCAAAGUGUCCAAUGAAAUUAAUUGGCGUUCCAGUUACUUUUGUGCUUCAGUGCAUAAAAACAGUUUUCUUAAAAAGUAAGUGGACCAACAAUGCAUUCUUACAGAAAGUUUGAUGGUGCAUAUGUCGAAGCCAGUGCCAUCUUUAGAAUUCGUUCCAAGUCGCUAUGCUUUGCACACUCACUAGCUGCAAUUUGUAGAUUGAACUUUGCAUACUCACUAGCUGCAAUUUGUAGAUUGAAAUAUGUGCCGUAAAGUAAAUCAGAAAGCUAGUUAGUGUAAUUAUGUUACUUAUUCAAUUAAGCAUUCUGAUUUCUCAUAGAAGUAGUGACUGCCUCAUUGAGUAAUUUAGAUUAAGGGUUAGAAUGUGCUAUCUGCUACAAGUAAUCUUCAAAAUGCAGCUAAAAAAAAAAACACCCUAUAGAAUGCUUUAUACUCUUUUUCAUACUUUGCAGGCAAUGCUGUAGAGGCGAAGGAAGUCGUGAGGUCACAGCAGUAUCGCUCCAUGCGUUUCGCAGCGCAUUUGUUCUUGAUCUGCGAGACUUGCUAUGGAAUACCUACUCUGUAUACAACUUGCGGCUGUAAGAAUAUGUAAAAUCAGGUAUUUGUGCGCCUUUAUGCUCGCCGUUUGUGACAUACUACAUUUUGGUCACGAGUGGAGGUGGUGCGCUGCGGUCGCUGGUCACAGAAAUGUGUCGCUCCGCUCAUUAAUGGUAGAUAGGUUCAAAUCUGUGACGGCCUUCCAUGUAAUAAUUACAUCGUAUUUUGCAACACAAUGUAUGAGACUUAAUGUCACUGAAACUUAAAUGACGACUAUUUAUAUCGCUAUAUCUCUAUGAAUGCAAGCAGUGAGAGAAGUCUCUCUAGCCUUCCUAGCAUUGCCUAAUGUGUAUGAAACGGAGUGGGGUGGUGGAAUCCGCCAUCGUGCGCAAUGUUGUGCGCCUUUUAUUCUAUUCUUCCUUCUUACCUGCCUUAUUAAUUGCACGAAACCAUAGUUAGGCUUCUACACAGCGUUGUUACUUUCAUUGCAAACGGCAGUCCUUUAUUCCAAAAACCUGCAGUGCUGUCAGCAUGUUAUUAAAGUGCUUCGUCUAUUGCGAAUCUGCAUCUGUAUGAAUGAGCAAAGUUAUCCCACAGAACAGAAUAAUUACAGCAAAGAGAGAUGAAAAGCUGAAUGCAACUCCUUCAUUAAACUGUACUACUUGCUGCUUGCUAAUAAUUGGAACUCUGCACCUGACUGGCAACCUUCAACAGUACAUAUUCAGAAGCCUUCAUAAAUGGUGUUUGGAAACAAAGAGCAAUUUAAAGCACCAGUGUGACUUCUGAGAAGUUGGUGAUUUCGGAGCUGGUUCGCUGCGUGCCAGCAAAAUACUGCAGCAGAAUAGCAGCGUUAGGGAAAAGCUGGUGUGCACAGUUGGCUUUAAUAGUUUACAGACCACAGGAUCUGAGAAAAUGUUCAAUUUCUGAGCAGUUUGUGACUGUGGCCAGUAAAACUGCACAACAAUAUGUUGCUCGCAUAUACCAGCACUGGCUAAAAAUCAGACUAAUGGGUUGCAUUCCCCAGGCUGGGAUCAACAUUCGGCUUUUUCUAAGAUCCCAUGGUCCGUGAACUAGUGUGUACGCCGACUGUACAUACCUGUGCAUUGUGUAUUACUGUCAGCAUAAGUUCAAAUGCCAACAAAUUGAAAGCAACUGGAAGUCCCUGUCAUGUUUCUAUUAUUGCAUUCGCAUGUAGCAGUGGCCUAAUUCGGGCUCCAAAAUGCGCAUUUUGGAACUAUGGCAUGCUGUGGAGCAAGUGCAUGUUGCAUUCCCAUGUAAAUACAUGCGGUAUAUUUCUGAUCUGUGUCUCCCUUUUUGCGUUUCCAUUUACGCUGAUGGUACAAAUAACUCUGCUGGCAGGAACUGCAGUUGACUUGCGAUAAUUCUAACACUGAUAGUUACACCUCAAAUUUCAGUUGGCCUGCUAUGUUUUCGAUGCACUUUGGAGUUGCUUAAUAAUGAAGUUUUGGUUAAUUCAAGACUGUUGCCUCCGCCGCUGGGAUGCAGCCAAAACAGCUUAUGAUGUGAUGUCCAUAAGGCGCGAAUAAGCCAAAUGUUAGAGUUGCAGUGUAAUGAGAUGCGAAACAAUACAAAAUAAGAACAGGAUAAAAACGAGCGUCGUGUUCUUAUUUCAUGUUGUUUUCCAUCCUAUAGCACACCACAAGUAUGAACUGACUAGGCCAGUAGUGACAUGUAACAUAUGCACCAACACAAUGCCACUGACAUGGUCACACGUGAUUACUUUUUAUACCCUAGAUGUGUGUCCACAAUUACUGUUUCUCUAACAUGGAAACCAGUAGUGACAAUUUGUUCAACCUUGUGUUUUAAUUGUUUGGUGUUACAAGGAUGCAAUACUACAGGCAAAAAGAGGCACAAAAUAUUUUCUGAAUACAUCUGUUCUUAUAGCUCUCUUGGACAAUGCUUCAUCAAUU
Dermacentor silvarum is the source of this 3714-nucleotide long non-coding RNA. RefSeq lists it as uncharacterized. The transcript has 2 exons. Lineage: Eukaryota; Metazoa; Arthropoda; Arachnida; Ixodida; Ixodidae. The record is from RefSeq and is a predicted model, not a curated record.